AACGAGGCGCGAAGAGCACGCCAAGAAGUCCUGUAAGAACGCCGUAUUGAAGAGCAAGCCCACGAGCCGGCCACAAGCUCUUCUGAAACAAACGUCGCGCGCCAUCACAUCCGCUCUGCACAGCUCGCUCGUAAUUGGAAAGAAUCACAGCUUGAAACACGUUGGCAGGCAGAGCGAGAGGCCCACUGCUGCGAAAGUGCAGAAGCCAGGUGAUGCCUCGUACCUUGCCCUUCUUCCCCCUUCUUCCCCCAUCUCUCGCAGCCCUUUCCUGGCGCAGCCAAUUUCUUAAUUCGCGUAAUAACCCGAUUUGUGCCGCUUACGUACGGUGUUCAGAAGGCUCAGCGCGCGCAGCCCUGCGUUCGAGCCCGGCCCGGCCGUUGCUGAUGCAUGCCUUUCGCGGCGGAGGCAAACAGCCGUAGGCGAGCACGCGUGGUUCGAAUUCGCGAGGGCUUGAACGACGGCACAUUCGCCAGCCCUCCUCCGUCGGGCAGAAAGCGUCGCCGGCGCCUUGCGACUAAUCCGUUUGGCAAACAACACGAUUCACGGCGCACAUCGCGCUCCUCCCACUCCCGUGUAUGCCCGCGCCUCAUUCUGCCCUGAUUCCUGUCAGCUUCUGUGUCACGCUUCUGCAAUAUUGCCUCGCACGGGAAGCACUUUGGGCGCGUUGCAAGAGGCCGUUCAUGCGUGCCCCGGCGGCUGGGCCUCUGCGAUCCAGAACGGUUCGGCCCCCUGGAAGCCGUUCGUGCUGGCGCGUCGAGGGUGCGCUGUGUGAAAGUGCUGGUCUUCUAUACCGUCCGAGGACUGAGAUCGAGGCUACUGUUCACGGCCGACCUGCCUGGAGCACUGACAUCGACAUAUGGAGACAAAUUUCCUCUGAACUCUGUCUACUCGUUCUUUAUUAGACCGACGAGUACUGUUCCACAUGACAGCGGCGUAUUCCAGUGCAGUGCCCCGUCAGCAACUUCAACGAAUGUUUGUUCUGAAUCAUGUAAACACCUACUCCUGCCUGGGUGGGUGACCAACAGGCAGCUGGUAGAGGAGGCUGACAAAUGUUUAAAUUCGUAUUUGGGGG
Long non-coding RNA from Dermacentor albipictus, 1072 nucleotides. RefSeq lists it as uncharacterized. The record is from RefSeq and is a predicted model, not a curated record. NCBI's taxonomy places the organism in Eukaryota, Metazoa, Arthropoda, Arachnida, Ixodida, Ixodidae.